AAAUUGAAGAGUUUGAUCAUGGCUCAGAUUGAACGCUGGCGGCAGGCCUAACACAUGCAAGUCGAACGGUAACAGGAAACAGCUUGCUGUUUCGAUGACGAGUGGCGGACGGGUGAGUAAUGUCUGGGAAACUGCCUGAUGGAGGGGGAUAACUACUGGAAACGGUAGCUAAUACCGCAUAACGUCGCAAGACCAAAGAGGGGGACCUUCGGGCCUCUUGCCAUCGGAUGUGCCCAGAUGGGAUUAGCUAGUAGGUGGGGUAACGGCUCACCUAGGCGACGAUCCCUAGCUGGUCUGAGAGGAUGACCAGCCACACUGGAACUGAGACACGGUCCAGACUCCUACGGGAGGCAGCAGUGGGGAAUAUUGCACAAUGGGCGCAAGCCUGAUGCAGCCAUGCCGCGUGUAUGAA
This 412-nucleotide ribosomal RNA is filed under the name Shigella flexneri. RNAcentral describes it as "bacterial SSU rRNA". It matches the Rfam family "Bacterial small subunit ribosomal RNA", at positions 1 to 409 of the family's 1533-position model. Lineage: Bacteria; Pseudomonadati; Pseudomonadota; Gammaproteobacteria; Enterobacterales; Enterobacteriaceae. The record is from RNAcentral.